AUUACAUGAUAUGACUACAAGGAAGUGUUUUGGGCAUCAGUCUGUAAGGGGGAAAAUAGGAUGAAAUCUUAACUAUACACUCUGUGUAUGUCAGUAUAGGUGAACUAGCAAGCAGUAUUCUACAGAGAGGCAUAUCUGAGAUGUUGUUUCACACCACAUCUAAACUACAUUCAGGUCUGCAGGUCUGCUUGACCCAGAAGAGUUAAGGAAUGCUCUGUGAGACCCUAAUUGGUCAUCCCACUGACACAGAGA
This 252-nucleotide long non-coding RNA is filed under the name Anas platyrhynchos platyrhynchos (common mallard). RNAcentral describes it as "lncRNA (ENSAPLG00000021464.1)". Lineage: Eukaryota; Metazoa; Chordata; Aves; Anseriformes; Anatidae. The record is from RNAcentral.